ACGAGUGGCGGACGGGUGAGUAACACGUGGGUAACCUGCCCUUAAGUGGGGGAUAACAUUUGGAAACAGAUGCUAAUACCGCAUAGAUCCAAGAACCGCAUGGUUCUUGGCUGAAAGAUGGCGUAAGCUAUCGCUUUUGGAUGGACCCGCGGCGUAUUAGCUAGUUGGUGAGGUAAUGGCUCACCAAGGCGAUGAUACGUAGCCGAACUGAGAGGUUGAUCGGCCACAUUGGGACUGAGACACGGCCCAAACUCCUACGGGAGGCAGCAGUAGGGAAUCUUCCACAAUGGACGCAAGUCUGAUGGAGCAACGCCGCGUGAGUGAAGAAGGCUUUCGGGUCGUAAAACUCUGUUGUUGGAGAAGAAUGGUCGGCAGAGUAACUGUUGUCGGCGUGACGGUAUCCAACCAGAAAGCCACGGCUAACUACGUGCCAGCAGCCGCGGUAAUACGUAGGUGGCAAGCGUUAUCCGGAUUUAUUGGGCGUAAAGCGAGCGCAGGCGGUUUUUUAAGUCUGAUGUGAAAGCCCUCGGCUUAACCGAGGAAGCGCAUCGGAAACUGGGAAACUUGAGUGCAGAAGAGGACAGUGGAACUCCAUGUGUAGCGGUGAAAUGCGUAGAUAUAUGGAAGAACACCAGUGGCGAAGGCGGCUGUCUGGUCUGUAACUGACGCUGAGGCUCGAAAGCAUGGGUAGCGAACAGGAUUAGAUACCCUGGUAGUCCAUGCCGUAAACGAUGAAUGCUAGGUGUUGGAGGGUUUCCGCCCUUCAGUGCCGCAGCUAACGCAUUAAGCAUUCCGCCUGGGGAGUACGACCGCAAGGUUUGAAACUCAAAGGAAUUGACGGGGGCCCGCACAAGCGGUGGGAGCAUGUGGGUUUAAUUCGAAGCAACGCGAAGAACCCUACCAGGUCUUGACAUCUUUUGAUCACCUGAGAGAUCAGGUUUCCCCUUCGGGGGCAAAAUGACAGGUGGUGCAUGGUUGUCGUCAGCUCGUGUCGUGAGAUGUUGGGUUAAGUCCCGCAACGAGCGCAACCCUUAUGACUAGUUGCCAGCAUUUAGUUGGGCACUCUAGUAAGACUGCCGGUGACAAACCGGAGGAAGGUGGGGAUGACGUCAAAUCAUCAUGCCCCUUAUGACCUGGGCUACACACGUGCUACAAUGGAUGGUACAACGAGUUGCGAGACCGCGAGGUCAAGCUAAUCUCUUAAAGCCAUUCUCAGUUCGGACUGUAGGCUGCAACUCGCCUACACGAAGUCGGAAUCGCUAGUAAUCGCGGAUCAGCACGCCGCGGUGAAUACGUUCCCGGGCCUUGUACACACCGCCCGUCACACCAUGAGAGUUUGUAACACCCGAAGCCGGUGGCGUAACCCUUUUAGGGAGCGAGCCGUCUAAGGUG
Molecule: ribosomal RNA, 1392 nt
Filed under: Lacticaseibacillus paracasei
Lineage: Bacteria; Bacillati; Bacillota; Bacilli; Lactobacillales; Lactobacillaceae
Description: Lactobacillus paracasei 16S ribosomal RNA
Rfam family: Bacterial small subunit ribosomal RNA
Source: RNAcentral